This 253-nucleotide ribosomal RNA is filed under the name uncultured bacterium. Its description in RNAcentral is "partial 16S ribosomal RNA". It matches the Rfam family "Bacterial small subunit ribosomal RNA", at positions 524 to 776 of the family's 1533-position model. The record is from RNAcentral.
UACGAGUGGUGCAAGCGUUAUUCGGAAUGAUUGGGCGUACAGGGUGCGCAGGCGGCAUGGUAAGUCAGCUGUUAAAAACCUCAGCCUAACUGGGGAUCGGCGGCAGAUACUGCUAUGCUAGAGGAUGGAAGAGAGAAGUGGAAUUCUUGGAGUAGCGGUAAAAUGCGUAGAUCUCAAGAGGAACACCGAUGGCGAAGGCAGCUUCUUGGUCCAUAUCUGACGCUCAGGCACGAAAGCGUGGGGAGCAAACAGG